CCGAUGGCGACCGGCGCACGGGUGAGUAACACGUGUGCAACCAACCCCGUACCGGGAGAUAACCCGCGGAAACGUGGACUAACAUCCCAUGAGACUCUAGAUCCGCAUGGCUCUAGAUUUAAAAUUCCGGUGGUACGGGACGGGCACGCGCGACAUUAGGUAGUUGGCGGGGUAAGGGCCCACCAAGCCGACGAUGUCUAGGGGUUCUGAGAGGAAGGUCCCCCACACUGGAACUGAGACACGGUCCAG
This 249-nucleotide ribosomal RNA is filed under the name uncultured bacterium. RNAcentral describes it as "partial 16S ribosomal RNA". It matches the Rfam family "Bacterial small subunit ribosomal RNA", at positions 85 to 334 of the family's 1533-position model. The record is from RNAcentral.